Molecule: ribosomal RNA, 581 nt
Filed under: uncultured bacterium
Lineage: Bacteria
Description: partial 16S ribosomal RNA
Rfam family: Bacterial small subunit ribosomal RNA
Source: RNAcentral
UGGGGAAUUUUGGACAAUGGGCGAAAGCCUGAUCCAGCAAUGCCGCGUGUGUGAAGAAGGCCUUCGGGUUGUAAAGCACUUUUGUCCGGAAAGAAAUCCUUGGCUCUAAUACAGUCGGGGGAUGACGGUACCGGAAGAAUAAGCACCGGCUAACUACGUGCCAGCAGCCGCGGUAAUACGUAGGGUGCAAGCGUUAAUCGGAAUUACUGGGCGUAAAGCGUGCGCAGGCGGUUUGCUAAGACCGAUGUGAAAUCCCCGGGCUCAACCUGGGAACUGCAUUGGUGACUGGCAGGCUAGAGUAUGGCAGAGGGGGGUAGAAUUCCACGUGUAGCAGUGAAAUGCGUAGAGAUGUGGAGGAAUACCGAUGGCGAAGGCAGCCCCCUGGGCAAUACUGACGCUCAUGCACGAAAGCGUGGGGAGCAAACAGGAUUAGAUACCCUGGUAGUCCACGCCCUAAACGAUGUCAACUAGUUGUUGGGAUCAUUCCUUAGUAACGUAGCUAACGCGUGAAGUUGACCGCCUGGGGAGUACGGUCGCAAGAUUAAAACUUAAAUGAAUUGACGGGGUCAUAGCUGUUUCCU